GAUGAAUGCUGGCGGCGUGCCUAACACAUGCAAGUCGAGCGGCAGCGCGAGAAGUUUACUUCUUGGCGGCGAGCGGCGGACGGCUGAGUAACGCGUGGGAACGUGCCCCAAAGUGAGGACUAACUGCCCGACAGGGUGGCUAAUGCCGCAUAUGAUCUUCGGAUCAAAGGAUUUAUCCGCUUUGGGAGCGGCCCGCGUUAGAUUAGGUAGUUGGUAGGGGAAUGGCCUACCAAGCCGACGAUCUAUAGCUGGUCUGAGAGGAUGAUCAGCCAGACUGGAACUGAGACACGGUCCAGACUCCUACGGGAGGCAGCAGUGAGGAAUCUUCCACAAUGGGCGAAAGCCUGAUGGAGCAACGCCGCGUGCAGGAUGAAGGCCCUAGGGUCGUAAACUGCUUUUAUAAGUGAAGAAUAUGACGGUAACUUAUGAAUAAGCACCGGCUAACUACGUGCCAGCAGCCGCAGUAA
This 467-nucleotide ribosomal RNA is filed under the name uncultured bacterium. RNAcentral's name for it is "partial 16S ribosomal RNA". It matches the Rfam family "Bacterial small subunit ribosomal RNA", at positions 28 to 523 of the family's 1533-position model. The record is from RNAcentral.